UUUAAAUCCAAUAAUUAGUGGUAAAAUAUAAAAUAUUUUAACAAAGAUGUCAUCACGCAAAGGCUAUGGGAAGAUUUUAUUGUCAUGACUUAGUGAUAAGCCCUGAACAUUAUCAACUACUUCAAUGUUGAUCACACAAUAUAGAAACAACGACUGUUUAACAUUUACUAUUUUUUUCAUACGGCGCAGUCGGGUAUUGAAGCUACGACCACCUACGGCGUAGAAUCCUAGUUUGAAAAUACAUCCAAUUUAGAAUAGACUUUUUUAUUGUUAUUAUUAACUUACUU
Molecule: long non-coding RNA, 287 nt
Organism: Colias croceus (clouded yellow)
Lineage: Eukaryota; Metazoa; Arthropoda; Insecta; Lepidoptera; Pieridae
Exons: 3
Source: RefSeq, a predicted model, not a curated record